CUGAAAAUAAGUAAAUAAAUUUAUAAAUAGAACAUAAACGUUAAACUGCUGACAUCUGUCUCACAAACGCAACUCAACCAAAUUAAGCAAACAAUAUUCAUCUUGUUGCUCAUGGCACAGAUGGCCCCAGUAUUAUGCAGAUAAAAAUGCAAGGUAGCAAAACUCAAGAAAGUAAAGGAUAUUCAAGAUCUCAAAAACAUUUGUGUCUAGAUAACAUUGUGAAAAGUAAACAUUGAAAUUGUCUCCACAACUUAGGCUGCGAAUGAAGCCAUGGACCUGUCUCUCAAAUACACUGCAAAAUCUCAUUUUUUUGCUGCUCCUAUUGAUGACCUUGUCAACGAAAGAAAUCACAGUGCACACCUUCAGACUCGUGAAACUACAAGA
RNAcentral lists this unclassified non-coding RNA (384 nucleotides) under Hevea brasiliensis (rubber tree). The record is from RNAcentral. Lineage: Eukaryota; Viridiplantae; Streptophyta; Magnoliopsida; Malpighiales; Euphorbiaceae.